Molecule: ribosomal RNA, 811 nt
Filed under: uncultured phototrophic eukaryote
Lineage: Eukaryota
Description: bacterial SSU rRNA
Rfam family: Bacterial small subunit ribosomal RNA
Source: RNAcentral
GGCUAACUCCGUGCCAGCAGCCGCGGUAUACGGGGGAUGCAAGCGUUAUCCGGAAUCAUUGGGCGUAAAGCGCCUGUAGGUUGUUUACUAAGUCUGUUGUUAAAGACUAGGGCUUAACCCUAGAAAAGCAAUGGAAACUUGUAGACUAGAGUAUGGCAGGGGUAGAGGGAAUUUCUAGUGUAGCGGUGAAAUGCGUAGAUAUUAGAAAGAACACCGGUGGCGAAAGCGCUCUACUGGACCAUUACUGACACUCAGAGGCGAAAGCUAGGGUAGCAAAAGGGAUUAGAUACCCCUGUAGUCCUAGCCGUAAACGAUGGAUACUAGAUGUUGUGUAUAACAGUAUCGUAGCUAACGCGUUAAGUAUCCCGCCUGGGGAGUACGCUCGCAAGGGUGAAACUCAAAGGAAUUGACGGGGGCCCGCACAAGCGGUGGAGCAUGUGGUUUAAUUCGAUGCAACGCGAAGAACCUUACCAGGGCUUGACAUACUACGAAUUCUCUUGAAAAAGAGAAGUGCCUUCGGGAAUGUAGAUACAGGUGGUGCAUGGCUGUCGUCAGCUCGUGUCGUGAGAUGUUGGGUUAAGUCCCGCAACGAGCGCAACCCUUAUUUUUAGUUACCAAUUCGUUGGGUUUUUUAGAAAGACUGCCGGUGACAAACCGGAGGAAGGUGAGGAUGACGUCAAGUCAGCAUGCCCCUUAUGUCCUGGGCCACACACGUGCUACAAUGGUUAAGACAAAGAGUCGCGAGCUCGUGAGAGCCAGCUAAUCUAAUAAACUUAGCCUAAGUYCWGAUUGUAGGCUGCCACUCCCCCCC